Molecule: long non-coding RNA, 1061 nt
Organism: Prinia subflava (tawny-flanked prinia)
Lineage: Eukaryota; Metazoa; Chordata; Aves; Passeriformes; Cisticolidae
Exons: 2
Source: RefSeq, a predicted model, not a curated record
GGGAAGCUCAGAGGCUCGGCAGGACUGUGCUGCCUCUCUGGGAGCACAGGUGUGACUCGGAUUUGGAGACAGGAGUGAAAUGUUCCUUUAGGACAGGGGUUAAAGGAGUUGCUUUCCCAACUAGUCCGAGUGCUCCCAUUGUUUCCUCGCUAAUGGCACCAAUUUCCCAGUGCAUGGAGAGCAUGGGCCUGACGGGAUAACUGGAAAUUAAGUUUGUCAGCUUUGCUCAGCUGCAUCCAGGAGUUAAUGCCUGGCUGGGCUGGUGUUUCCAGUGCAUCUUUUUCAGCUGCUGGCCCCAAACUCCUCCAAAAACCCCUGUGGAUGAUGCAGCAAAUGGAGCAUGGACUGGAUGUUCCUUAUGGGUCCCUUCCAACUCCAGACUCCUCUGAGGAAAAGCCCUGAAUCUGACACCAAAUUCCACUCAUCGAAAGACUCAAGGACCCCCCAGAGUGAUCUCCAAGUGCCACACGGAGCAGUUGCUGUAGAUAAUCCCUAUAAAGAUUAAUGCCUCAGAAAAUGUUUGUUCCUGGAGCCCAGCCCAACACCACAAACCAUCUGUCAGAUCCAGGACAGCGGCCACAGGGACAGGGCACGGGGAAGGAUGGAUUUGGCACCAAGCUUGGAGCAAGGGCAGCUCCUGUAGCUGCAGCCUCAUCAGGGACCGGCACAGGAGAGGAAAAAUCCCACAAGUAAAUGCAAGGGGAAGAGCCUGGACCAGAGUUGUACUUGAAGGGGUGUGGGCCUGAUAUUUCUGGGUCUGAGCCAUUUUAGCCUGCUAGCAGCUGCUAACUUUUUUCCCAAGGGAAAAUUUCUCAAGAGUUUCUUCUCAAAACAAUCCUGGCAAACAACUAUCCUUACCCAAAACAAUCUUUCUCCAGGUAGUGUUUUGCCUUUCUAGUUCUCAAAAAACCCCAUUUUGGCUGUUUCUGUAGUUUAACAAAUAGGAUUGGGGAGAUUCAUUCCUAUACACCAAUCAUGUUAAGUCUGUAUCGAAGCACCUUAUAAAAAGCAGUAAGAAUUGGACAAUAAAGCCUUUUCUAUGCUCUUUGGCUUCUGAAAUA